RNAcentral lists this long non-coding RNA (338 nucleotides) under Mustela putorius furo (domestic ferret). RNAcentral's name for it is "lncRNA (ENSMPUG00000023927.1)". The record is from RNAcentral. Lineage: Eukaryota; Metazoa; Chordata; Mammalia; Carnivora; Mustelidae.
UUUCCUUUUGCUAUUUAUAAAAGUGCUUAGCUCAGCUCUUGAAAUCAGGGAAGAGAGAUGUAGGAUCCUUAGUGUAUCCUUUUUCUGUAGUUGUGGAAACAUAUGUAUGUGAUCUGCUCCUUGAACGGCUGACCUCUACAAAGUGAGAAUGUCUCAGAGGAAUAUUUUCUUUCCACAUAUAGAAGCAGUGACAGAACACCAAGAUGGCACUUGUGGAAACAGAGGCUUUGAAAAAUUAAGUCACUGGCCACACAAAGAAGUCACUGCAUCAAGGAUGGGGCUGGUAUAAUGGGUUUAAAGAAGAACUUGGAUAAGGAGAGGUAGGUGCUGAAUCAGUG